AACGCUGGCGGUAGGCCUAACACAUGCAAGUCGAACGGCAGCACAGUAAGAGCUUGCUCUUACGGGUGGCGAGUGGCGGCGGACGGGGGAGGAAUACAUCGGAAUCUACCUUUUCGUGGGGGUAACGUAGGGAAAACUUACGCUAAUACCGCAUACGACCUUCGGGUGAAAGCAGGGACCUUCGGGCCUUGCGCGGAUAGAUGAGCCGAUGUCGGAUUAGCUAGUUGGCGGGGUAAAGGCCCACCAAGGCGACGAUCCGUA
Molecule: ribosomal RNA, 261 nt
Filed under: Nanobacterium sp.
Lineage: Bacteria
Description: partial 16S ribosomal RNA
Rfam family: Bacterial small subunit ribosomal RNA
Source: RNAcentral